UUGGGAAGCAAUUUCUGAAAACUCUUUUGUCUUUUUUCAAAAUUCUGCUUAGUAGACUAGGACUUCCACCAGAAUCAAAUAUGAUCAGCAAUUCUCAUGCAAACCACUCAACACUUCAAAAACAUUACUCUCUCAUUCACAACUCUAAACGGUCUUUUUCAAAUCAGACAAUAUUGGUUUUUGAUUUGGAGGCUGCAUUGUUGAAAUCAUCUUCCUUGUUUCCUUACUUCAUGCUUGUGGCCUUUGAAGCUGGAGGGCUCAUAAGAGCACUCAUCUUGCUUCUUUCGUACCCUUUUCUUUGUUCAGUUGGAAAGGAGCUAGGACUGAAGAUUAUGACUUUUAUAUCUUUUGUUGGGAUUAGAAAAAGUAAGUUCAGAGCUGGAACUGCUGUUCUGCCCAAGUUCUUCCUGGAAGAUGUUGGGUGUGAAGGGUUUGAUCUGGUUAUGUGCUGUGCGAGGAAGAUAGGAGUGAGCAAGUUGCCUAGGAUCAUGGUUGAAGGAUUCUUGAAAGAUUAUAUUGGAGUGGAGGCUGUUUUGGCUAGAGAUAUGAAGGUAGUUCAUGGGUAUUUUGUAGGUUUAAUGGAGGGAAAGGAGGUUGGUUGUACCAGUUUAAAUGAGCUUCUGAUGGAGAAGAAAAUGGGUUCCUAUGCUGUCGGUAUCGGAUGCUCCUCCAACUGGUCGCUCUAUGGGCAACUACUUCGACACUGUAAGGAGGUUUACUCGGUGACCGAAGCAGAGAGGAGAAAUUGGCGAUUUCUGCCACGAGAAAGAUACCCAAAGCCAUUGAUCUUCCACGACGGUAGAUUGAGUUUCAGACCAAGUGCAUUUGCCACGAUUGCCAUGUUCAUGUGGCUUCCAUUCGGGUUUCUGCUCUCCAUCUUUAGAAUCACUGUUGGUCUCUUAUUGCCUUUCGAGAUGUCCAGUUCCAUCCUGGCUUUUACAGGGACUAUAAGCGUAAUAUCUAAACCCAGUCAACCCUUUAACUCGGCCAUGAGCAGAGGAUCGCUCUAUGUUUGUAACCACAAAACGCUACUAGACCCAGUCUAUACCUCAUUAACUAUCAUGAAGCCUGUCACUGCAGUCACCUACAGCGUGAGCAGAUUCAAUGAGGUGAUUUCCCCCAUCAAAACUGUCCGAUUGACUAGAGAUCGGGAUAGAGAUAGAAAACUGAUGGAUAAGAUCCUAAGCCAGGGUGACCUUGUGGUUUGCCCUGAAGGAACAACUUGCAGGGAACCUUACCUACUGAGGUUUAGUCCAUUGUUUGCAGAGAUUGCGGAUGAGAUAGUUCCGGUUGCUAUAGAUGUUCAGAUCAGCAUGUUCUAUGGAUCAACAGCUAGUGGCCUUAAAUGCUUAGACCCAGUAUUUCACUACAUGAACCCACGUCCAAUAUACUUCGUCAAGGUUCUUGAGAAGUUACCAGGUUCCCGGACGUGUAUGAUUGGCGGAAAAUCAACUUUUGAAGUGGCCAAUUAUGUGCAGAAUGAGAUUGCCAAAACUCUAGGAUUUGAGUGCACCAGUCUUACAAGGAAAGACAAAUACAUGAUCUUGGCAGGCAAUAAUGGAAUCAUUUAGGACUACAUGAGACUCGUGCUAGCAGCAAGUAAACUUGUGUUCUUUCAGAAGUAAUUGAAUAAGAAGUAUGUGUAUUUUAGGUGUCCAAAUAUUAACUAGUUUCAAGAAAUAGAUGACUCUAUAUUGCAGUUUCAAGAGGGGAACUUUCACUUCUUUCAUUUCUACCUUAAUUCACAACUUGCACAGCUAUAGCAUGGGGAGAAGGAAAUCUGCAACUUGUAAAUCACCAUAAAUCAGAUUUGGAUAUCUUAUAUAUGUAGUUGCCAGCGGAUGAAUUACUGAUAUAGACAGCUGUACGCGAACUUACACAGUUAUAAUGGAUUACAGAUUAACUAAGACAGCAAACAAUGCUUGGAUGAAGGCUCCAUAUUCCACUCAACAUCUCCACAUGCUCCCAUGACUGAAGUGAAGAUAUAAUCAUCCAUCUCAAUACCCUCUGCCUGCAUCCGAUACAUGAGCUUCAAUGCCUCUCGGCAGCGUCCAUUCCUUGCAUAACCCAAAAUCAUUGUUUUCCAAGAAAUCAAGUUCCGCUCUGGCAUACUGUCAAAAACUUGAAUUGCAUCUGAUAAAUAUCCACACUUGGAAUACAUAUAAAUUAAUGCACUACCUACAAAGACAUUAGAUGAAGCUGGUGUCUUGUUGGCAAAGGAGUGUAUCAAUUUUCCUUGCAGAAUAGCAUCGAGAUUAGCACAAGCUUUCAAAGCUGAUGAACAAGUAAAUGCGUUUGGUUCCACGCCUUCCUCCAUCAUUUCUUUCAAGAACUCAAGAGCCUCAGGCUCAUGCCCAAGACCUGCAUAACCAGAAAUCAUUGCAGUCCAUGAGACAACACUUCUGAGAGGUAUCUGUUCAAGGACUUUUGAAGCAAUAUGAAACUCCCCACAUUUACAAUAGAACCACACGAGAGUGCUUCCUAUGUACUCAUUUGAUUGAAUCCUGUUCUUGAUAAUUUGUGCAUGAACUUCUUGCCCUGUUAGCAAGGCCCUGAUUGAGCCACAAGCCUUGAGAAUGCUCACAACGGUUAAGUUAUUAGAAAUUACCCUCCGUUGUUUCAUCACUUGAAAGAGACUUAUGGCCUCCUCACCAAGCCCCUUCCUCGCAUAACCUGCUAUAAUGGAAGUCCACGUAACUGUAUUUCUCUUCCUCAUUCUAUUAAACACUUUUCUAGAAUCUAAAAUCUCCCCACAUUUUGCAUACAUGUCCACCAAGGAGGACCCUAUAAAAACAUCAUCUUUAUACAUCUUCUUAACUAUGGCACCAUGUAGCUGUUUCCCAAACCUCAAUGCCUUCUUCUCUCCGCAAGCCUUUAGGACAGCACAUGCUGUAAACUCAUUAGGCAAAAAUCCCUCAGCCAACAUUUGUGAGAGCAUCCCAAAAGCCUCCUCUUCGUGCCCUUGUUGGGAGAAAGCAGUAAUCAUAGUUGUCCAACAAACCACAUCCCUUUCCGCCAUCUGAUCAAAUGCAUUGCAUGCGCCUGUUAACUCACCGCAUUGGGCAUAGAAAGAAACAACGGCACUAUCCAGAAUUAAGUUCCUCCAAUUACCCUUUACAACACGAGCAUGGAGUUGCCUCCCUAACUCAAAAUCUAAUCUUUUACUACAUAAAUUUAAUACACACACAAGCGUCCUGCUGUUUGCUACAACCCCAUUCUCUAUAAAGUCACUAAACAACCUCAAGGCCUCAUCAUCUAAACCAAAACUAAUGUAACCGUUAAUCAUAGCCGUCCAACUAACAACAUUUCGCUCCGGCAUUCCAUCAAACACCUUUCGCGCCUCAAUUAAUUGCCCUAAUUUCAAGUACGCACUAAUCAUAUUGUUAUUAACAUACGUGACCGAGUUCCUCAAGCAUUUCAAAGCAACCGCGUGUAUUCUCUUAACUUCCUUUGCUCUGUAACAUGACCGAAGCCAAAGUGCAAGCACACCAGAAUCAACGAAAUGUGUUGCCAAUUGAGUACCCGACAAGUCGACAUCCGAGCUUCCCUGGAACUCAAAUGCGGAACUAUUGGCGGUUGAGAAGCGAAAUUGGGAGGCAGAGGUUGAAUUAGUAUCAUUAUUGCAAGACAAGCAAUGGAAAUUUGUAGGACUUACAUGGCUAUUGCUUCUUGUUUUUGGGGAUUGUAGUGGUUGAAUAGCGAGAAGUGAAGGCUGUAUCAACAGAGUAUUAUUCAGUGAGAAGCACGUUAACGAGAGCAUUUGCCUGGUUAGUGCAAAAUUUUCCAAGAAGCUCUGAUUGCAGGCCCGAAAAUUUUGGGAGCCAUUUGGGCGGGCGUUGGCAACUACCUUU
This 3851-nucleotide unclassified non-coding RNA is filed under the name Hevea brasiliensis (rubber tree). The record is from RNAcentral. Lineage: Eukaryota; Viridiplantae; Streptophyta; Magnoliopsida; Malpighiales; Euphorbiaceae.